This 251-nucleotide ribosomal RNA is filed under the name uncultured prokaryote. RNAcentral describes it as "partial 16S ribosomal RNA". It matches the Rfam family "Bacterial small subunit ribosomal RNA", at positions 524 to 774 of the family's 1533-position model. The record is from RNAcentral.
UACGGAGGAUGCAAGCGUUAUUCGGAUUCAUUGGGUUUAAAGGGUGCGUAGGCGGACUAUUAAGUCAGUGGUGAAAGCCUGCAGCUUAACUGCAGAACUGCCAUUGAUACUGAUAGUCUUGAGUUUGGUUAAGGUAGGCGGAAUGUGUAAUGUAGCGGUGAAAUGCUUAGAUAUUACACAGAACACCAAUUGCGUAGGCAGCUUACUGAGCCGACACUGACGCUGAGGCACGAAAGCGUGGGGAUCGAACA